This is a non-coding RNA of Schistosoma haematobium, 48 nucleotides long. Lineage: Eukaryota; Metazoa; Platyhelminthes; Trematoda; Strigeidida; Schistosomatidae. The record is from Rfam.
AUCCAGCUGACGAGUCCUAAAUUGAAUGAAACGAAUGUCAAACUGGAU